RNAcentral lists this ribosomal RNA (452 nucleotides) under uncultured bacterium. RNAcentral describes it as "bacterial SSU rRNA". It matches the Rfam family "Bacterial small subunit ribosomal RNA", at positions 29 to 526 of the family's 1533-position model. The record is from RNAcentral.
AACGAACGCUGGCGGCAGGCUUAACACAUGCAAGUCGAACGGGCACUUCGGUGUCAGUGGCAGACGGGUGAGUAACACGUGGGAACAUACCCUUUGGUCUGGAACAACUCGGGGAAACCCGAGCUAAUACCGGAUGAGCGCGAGAGCGGAAAGAUUGAUCGCCGAAGGAUUGGCCCGCGUCCGAUUAGCUAGUUGGUGGGGUAACGGCUCACCAAGGCGACGAUCGGUAGCUGGUCUGAGAGGAUGGCCAGCCACAUUGGGACUGAGACACGGCCCAAACUCCUACGGGAGGCAGCAGUGGGGAAUAUUGGACAAUGGGCGCAAGCCUGAUCCAGCCAUGCCGCGUGAGUGAUGACGGCCUUAGGGUUGUAAAGCUCUUUCGCCCGCGACGAUAAUGACGGUAGCGGGAGAAGAAGCCCCGGCUAACUUCGUGCCAGCCGCCGCCGUAACAC